Molecule: long non-coding RNA, 1226 nt
Organism: Leopardus geoffroyi (Geoffroy's cat)
Lineage: Eukaryota; Metazoa; Chordata; Mammalia; Carnivora; Felidae
Exons: 3
Source: RefSeq, a predicted model, not a curated record
CCUUAACAACUGAGGUUUUUGCAUUUAUUUAGAAUUCUGACACCCUCUAGGAAGAGCUGGUAGGGCAUAUAAGAAUCACGGAAGAUAGCUGGGUGCCUAAAAUGGCUUGUCUUAGGUCAUGAGAGUUAUGACUCAUCUUUCUUUUUCUGGGAACCUCUACCUCUCUGCUUCCACUACCCGAAUGGGACUUUCCAGCACUGACAAGCAAUGAAGGCUGAGAGAACAAAGGAACUUAUGGCCUGUGACCUCUCAUGACAAACACCCCUAAGAGCUGGCAUGUCCAGAGACUCGGAACCCUAUUCAACUGGCCUGCAAAGUGCACCCUGGGCACUCCCCAGUCCUGCAGAGUGGAGCAGUUAGAACUCAAGCAAAAGGCUAGUCUCUGAGGCUGUCAGAAUGGCUGAAAAGUGAAGACUCUAGAAAGCAGAUGACCACAUAGGAGGAGUAGUGAAUUCUGCAUAUAGAUUCAGCCCAAAUCUUUGACUUCUGUUCUGCACAUUCAUGGGAGAAACGCCAAGCAGCACAGCUAGAAGAAGCAGGCUAACAGGAGAUCUAGGCAGAGAUUACCAUUGCUGGUGACCAUAGAGGAGACAGAGUUCAGAAUUUGAGUCUAAUAGAACAACGCUCACCAGUUUCCAGAAUACCACGGAGCAUCCAUGUUUGGCAAAAGUAUCAUUCAAAAUUUGAAGGCAUAACAAAGACAUUUUCAGACAAAGGCUGAGAAUACAUCACCAGCAGACUUGAAGGAAUAUGAUAUAGUGUGGAAAUUUGGAUCUUCACAAAAGGAUAAAGAGUGCCAGAAAAGAAGAGGAAGACACCACCAGAUGACCCAGACUGAUCUUAUCUCGAGAUAAUUUCCUUCGAAGAGAAAUCAGGAAGGAAUUUGUUAUGCAGAAUUUAGGAUUUGGCCAGAUCUGGAAGCAUCUAAAGCCUGCUGAGGAAUGACAGUUUUCAAAUGCCCAGUAUACAAAAUAACUUUAAAAUUUUCUGUUAGCAUGUUCCUUUUGGGGGAAGAGUUUCUUUUGAUUUGUCCUUUGACUCUUCACGACCUGUGACCUGUUUCCAACCCAGGACCCGGUUCUUCUGAGGAUGGAAGGGAGUUGGAACUCCUCUCAAAUAUUCUUUCCCUUUCUCACAUCCCAACCCCUUCUGUGAUCCAAGCCCUCAAAACAUAAAGGAUGGUCAUCUUUCAAUUUUAAAAUUAUAACACUAAACGUUUCUUUUUU